Molecule: ribosomal RNA, 494 nt
Filed under: uncultured bacterium
Lineage: Bacteria
Description: partial 16S ribosomal RNA
Rfam family: Bacterial small subunit ribosomal RNA
Source: RNAcentral
GACGAACGCUGGCGGCGUGCUUAACACAUGCAAGUCGAACGGUGAAGCGCCUUCCUUUUUGGUGGGUGUGGAUGAGUGGCGAACGGGUGAGUAACACGUGAGUAACCUGCCCCCUUCUUCUGGAUAACCGCAUGAAAGUGUGGCUAAUACGGGAUAUUCUGGGUCUGUCGCAUGAUGGGUCUGGGAAAGCUAUUGUUUCGGGGGGGGAUGGGCUCGCGGCUUAUCAGCUUGUUGGUGGGGUGAUGGCCUUUCAAGGCGGUGGCGGGUAGCCGGCCUGAGAGGGGAGACGGUCACACUGGGACUGCGACACGGCCGAGACUGCGACGGGGGGCAGCAGUCGAGAAUAGUGCACAGUGGGCACAAGCCUGAUGCAGCGACGCCGCGUGAGCGAUGGAGGCCUUCGGGUUGUGAACCUCUUUCGCCAGUGAAGCAGGCCUGCCUGGUUUGUGGGUGGGUUGACGGUAGCUGGAUAAGAAGCGCCGGCUAACUACGUG